This 253-nucleotide unclassified non-coding RNA is filed under the name Hevea brasiliensis (rubber tree). Lineage: Eukaryota; Viridiplantae; Streptophyta; Magnoliopsida; Malpighiales; Euphorbiaceae. The record is from RNAcentral.
CUUCGACCUGUAUGGUACCUCUAGUCUUUCCAUUAAUUUGGACUGGAAGGACUACAGUACUCUCUUUUAAAUAUGCAGUAUCAGCCUUAGGAAAGGGCUCAUAUGCCAAGGAAUUUGAGUGUCCCAGACGAGACCAGAGCUCCUCUGCCAUGUGAGGUGCAUAUGGUGAGAGCAGCAAAACAAAUGCUUCAAUAAUUGAUCUCGGAAGCUUGUCCCACUAAAGACAUGAGACCCAACAGAUUAGUUCAAAUGC